Molecule: ribosomal RNA, 469 nt
Filed under: Streptococcus mutans
Lineage: Bacteria; Bacillati; Bacillota; Bacilli; Lactobacillales; Streptococcaceae
Description: bacterial SSU rRNA
Rfam family: Bacterial small subunit ribosomal RNA
Source: RNAcentral
GACGAACGCUGGCGGCGUGCCUAAUACAUGCAAGUGGGACGCAAGGGAACACACUGUGCUUGCACACCGUGUUUUCUUGAGUCGCGAACGGGUGAGUAACGCGUAGGUAACCUGCCUAUUAGCGGGGGAUAACUAUUGGAAACGAUAGCUAAUACCGCAUAAUAUUAAUUAUUGCAUGAUAAUUGAUUGAAAGAUGCAAGCGCAUCACUAGUAGAUGGACCUGCGUUGUAUUAGCUAGUUGGUAAGGUAAGAGCUUACCAAGGCGACGAUACAUAGCCGACCUGAGAGGGUGAUCGGCCACACUGGGACUGAGACACGGCCCAGACUCCUACGGGAGGCAGCAGUAGGGAAUCUUCGGCAAUGGACGAAAGUCUGACCGAGCAACGCCGCGUGAGUGAAGAAGGUUUUCGGAUCGUAAAGCUCUGUUGUAAGUCAAGAAUGUGUGUGAGAGUGGAAAGUUCACACAGUG